This 388-nucleotide ribosomal RNA is filed under the name Salmonella enterica. RNAcentral's name for it is "partial 23S ribosomal RNA". It matches the Rfam family "Bacterial large subunit ribosomal RNA", at positions 137 to 563 of the family's 2925-position model. RNAcentral also lists the same sequence under 2 other names. Lineage: Bacteria; Pseudomonadati; Pseudomonadota; Gammaproteobacteria; Enterobacterales; Enterobacteriaceae. The record is from RNAcentral.
GACUCGUCACACUAUCAUUAACUGAAUCCAUAGGUUAAUGAGGCGAACCGGGGGAACUGAAACAUCUAAGUACCCCGAGGAAAAGAAAUCAACCGAGAUUCCCCCAGUAGCGGCGAGCGAACGGGGAGGAGCCCAGAGCCUGAAUCAGCAUGUGUGUUAGUGGAAGCGUCUGGAAAGGCGCGCGAUACAGGGUGACAGCCCCGUACACAAAAGCGCAUGUGCUGUGAGCUCGAUGAGUAGGGCGGGACACGUGGUAUCCUGUCUGAAUAUGGGGGGACCAUCCUCCAAGGCUAAAUACUCCUGACUGACCGAUAGUGAACCAGUACCGUGAGGGAAAGGCGAAAAGAACCCCGGCGAGGGGAGUGAAAAAGAACCUGAAACCGUGUAC